AUGUGAGAUAAACUCGAAGACAUUUGACAAAACGACCGACCUAUACUUUUCCACAAAACAUCCAUGUCAUGGAAGACAAAGAAGCAUGUGACCUGGGACUCUCUUUGCUGACAUCAUGGAGACCAUUUGUGAGAUCUGAAUAAGGUGAAAAUCAAGACCAUUCAUAAACGAGAAGCCCACAGAAGAACGUGAAGGUCACGAAGAGUGUGCCCUGAGUCUUUUUCCUCCAGUUGCACGCUGUUAAGGGGGCCUUAAUUAAGCUUUCCCCUCCGGGCACAACCAGCCUGUUUGUGAUAGGUCUCUUUUUGGAGCUGAUAGCGCAAUAAAUGCGGAAUCUGGUGCAAAUUCCAAUGGAAAGAAAAGACAUUGUUAUUUAAAGGCCAAAUAACGGCUUAAAAUUAGAGUUGCGAAGGAUUGAGAAACAGCCGACUGCCCAGAUGGCGCGCAGAUAAUUCACUUUGCACUCAGUCCGUUCACUCGCUAAAAAAAAUACUUUUGACUCUGUUUCUCCUCAGAUUGAAAGUUGCUGCCUGCUUUAAACAUAUGUGCUUCUCUCUUUAAAUUUAGCUCUGAGUCAUGUUGUAUUACAUUAGGAAUUCAGCAGGCAGGCACUUGGAA
This is a long non-coding RNA of Lontra canadensis (Northern American river otter), 618 nucleotides long. RefSeq lists it as uncharacterized. The record is from RefSeq and is a predicted model, not a curated record. The transcript has 3 exons. NCBI's taxonomy places the organism in Eukaryota, Metazoa, Chordata, Mammalia, Carnivora, Mustelidae.